CCAUUCCGCGUGAGUGAAGAAGGCUUCGGGUUGUAAAGCUCUUUCGGCAGGAACGAAACGGUGUGGGCCAAUACCCCAUAUCAAUGACGGUACCUGAAGAAGAAGCACCGGCUAACUACGUGCCAGCAGCCGCGGUAAUACGUAGGGUGCGAGCGUUAAUCGGAAUUACUGGGCGUAAAGCGUGCGCAGGCGGUUUUGUAAGACAGGUGUGAAAUCCCCGGGCUUAACCUGGGAACUGCGCUUGUGACUGCAAGACUGGAGUGUGGCAGAGGGGGGUGGAAUUCCACGUGUAGCAGUGAAAUGCGUAGAGAUGUGGAGGAACACCGAUGGCGAAGCAGCCCCCUGGGUCAACACUGACGCUCAUGCACGAAAGCGUGGGGAGCAAACAGGAUUAGAUCCCUGGUAGUCCACGCCCUAAACGAUGCGACUAGUGUUGGAGAANGAGACUU
This 449-nucleotide ribosomal RNA is filed under the name uncultured bacterium. RNAcentral describes it as "bacterial SSU rRNA". It matches the Rfam family "Bacterial small subunit ribosomal RNA", at positions 392 to 837 of the family's 1533-position model. The record is from RNAcentral.